GCACGGACAACUUCUUACUCGGCCGCUGAGUAUCCGUCACCGAACCAAUUCCCUUGCCUUGGGUGGCCUCGGCAUCGCUUUCGCUCAGAAUUAUCCCGCUAACAGUGACGAAUACCUGGGCUUGGACCCACUAGAUAGGUACUGGUCCUACUUCGAACCUACUUUGAUUCGUCUCCAGGCUUGGCUGACUACAACUUCUUAGUCGCCUACUCAACACCAAUCCCCACUUUACGGUGAGCUUGGGUCUCGAUCGACCAAGAGGGGCUUUACGCAACUCCGCGUCGUCAACUGACCUGUAGAUCCCCAUUUCGUGACAAAGCCACGCCCGACGCGCUCGCCAUGGUUUAGCUCCGUUUGAGACUUAUGAUCUAUACUGGGUUUUUAUUGUCCCCAGUUCCAGCCGGUUACUCUGCUACCCCCUAUUCGAAGUAGCAGCUCUCCCUUUGUCGGGCCUAGUGGUCGAUUCCGGGGAUUUACUGGCGAGUCACUAUUUCCUCCACCCCCACGUUUCUGUCGGUCCUCCAAACGGAUCUUCGUCGGUGGGAAAUUUCUCACGCAUUAUCGAGUGACUAGCUCGCGGGAACGCGACUUCUACUUGCCCCGAUUCGCUAGACGGCUUCGACACCCUACAGUUUUACGUAGCCAUCCCCUCGCAAGGCGGAAUCUCCCUUCGUUGGCGCUUUCGCCCCCAGCUGCUUCGCCUUCGCUCUUACAGCCGAACUCAUUGCUUUUGUAACCACUCUUAGGUUACGGGGCUUUUGGGUUCCAAAGGAGGCGUUCCAAGCAGGUGCCUCCCACUCAGUCCCGGAUUCUAGUCCGGCUUUCCGCAUCAGCUACCUGUUGUCCAGUUAUAAGGACAUGAUGGGGAACAACCAUGCCUCCCUGCCUCCUCCGAUCCAAUCGGCUUUCUACCAAUAUCCAAAUUCCUGUGUUCCACUGGGACGAAAAAGUCCCAUUCUUCCCCAUCUCUUUUACGGAGCUCGGCUCCAGGCUCAUGGUUCGCGACGUCGCGACUUAAUACUCGGGGCACCUGAUCGCUAACGAAGAGGUGCUCCGAGUAUGGUCCGCGAUGCCGCGACUUCAUACAUUGACUACGGUAUGAGGGUCCUUUUCGAGCUUGCUGGAAGUUGUUUUCCCAUGGACAUGGGCUUUGGCUGUGUCCACCCAUCCAUCUCUUAUGGAUCCCCGCGCUCUGUUGAGAGAGAUUCCUUGAGCCGUUUUAUCGGGGCAUUGAAGCCCUCUUCCCCACGGGGGAGUGUUUUCCCCCGGCGUCACUGGUCCGGGCCCGCUGACAAAUGGUUUUUGUGUCCAGAGGCGUUUCAGCAUUCUGGUACAUACCCCCGACUGCGGACGGGUCACGGCCUUCCAGUUCCUUCAACCACUUGACUACUGUCCCUUCGGCCGCUGGCUUCGGGGCCACUUGCCGCCGGCAUUGAUAUUGCCAGGAUUCCAUCGCUUUAAGGAACAGCCCAUUCAAGGCUGGGCGUGCUUUCCGCAUUGCUAGACCCGUGACAGAGCCUCUCUCCGAGCCACUUUAUCUGUACAGACACUUCUACGCCUGAUGGACGUGGACCUGUCUUUCUGGGAUACUUCGAAAUGACAAGGGACCCUAACCGAAACCCGGAAAGGACGCGUCGAAUCCACCUUCCGCUUCUUCCGGGGGAAGGCCCCCCCGGGCUCGGUAGUCACUCUAUGGUGAGACCUUCUCGAGCCUAAGAUUGGAACACAGUCUGGGCGCCCGGUUCCCUGUCAGAGUCCAUUUGUCAAAGAUACCCCGCAUCCGGAGGGUUUUCCAUUGCCUCCGCACGUUUCCAAAGGAGCCCGGUCUGCCUGUAACCAGGAGCUCACGUUUCCGUCUUCCCUCGAACUGACGUUCUGAGUGGGCAGCUCGUCUCUGCUUUCAGCCGGAAUCACUAGGCUGCCACGGCUCACCUUCCCGGCAGCGAGUUGCCUAUUUUCAAUGAGAUCCCUAUUGUCCGACUAGAAGGGGUUCUCAGGUGUAGCUGCCCUUCCAAACCGUGGAGCUACAGCCGAGAAGCGGUGGACCUCGACAUCCACCAAGGUUCCCAACCCGACAAGCGGGUAAUUACGCCAUGCACUCGACCCAAGUCUUGCAGCACUCUGUCAAGCCAGGUAUAGGCCACACCCGCAAUCUCGUAACUCUCCUGGAAAGGGAUCAUGCUCUCCUGGCCCUUCCUGCGUGGAGACCACAUGGUCAAUAGCACGGAUGCCAUUUGCGACCCAUCGGUUCACGCCUCUCCUAUUGACGACUUUCGUAUAUUCAUCAUUCGGGUG
This 2295-nucleotide ribosomal RNA is filed under the name Triticum aestivum (bread wheat). RNAcentral's name for it is "partial small subunit ribosomal RNA". The record is from RNAcentral. Lineage: Eukaryota; Viridiplantae; Streptophyta; Magnoliopsida; Poales; Poaceae.